RNAcentral lists this ribosomal RNA (254 nucleotides) under uncultured bacterium. Its description in RNAcentral is "partial 16S ribosomal RNA". It matches the Rfam family "Bacterial small subunit ribosomal RNA", at positions 524 to 776 of the family's 1533-position model. The record is from RNAcentral.
UACGAAGGGGGCUAGCGUUGCUCGGAAUUACUGGGCGUAAAGCGCACGUAGGCGGAUUCCUAAGUCGGUGGUGAAAUCCUGGAGCUCAACUCCAGAACUGCCUCCGAUACUGAGAGUCUCCGAGUCCGGGAGAGGUGAGUGGAACUGCGAGUGUAGAGGUGAAAUUCGUAGAUAUUCGCAAGAACACCAGUGGCGAAGGCGGCUCACUGGCCCGGUACUGACGCUGAGGUGCGAAAGCGUGGGGAGCAAACAGG